GUUGAAGUUAGGAGUCACAGUGUGGAAUGGAUUAGCAGGGUCUGGUGCAGGGUAACCGCACACCCCCUGGUGUUGAGCACCAGCGUUUGUGCUGCCACAUACCAGGACCCUGAUGCAGCUUCAGUAAAAAGAGUACUUGAUACCAGAAGCCAUCACCAGACUGAUCCGCAACUUGGAACAGGAUGUGACAUUCACUGUAGCGGCUGUGCCCGCUUUUGGCGUUGUCACUCUGCUGCUGC
This is a non-coding RNA of Pelobates cultripes (western spadefoot toad), 239 nucleotides long. The record is from the annotation of a GenBank genome assembly. NCBI's taxonomy places the organism in Eukaryota, Metazoa, Chordata, Amphibia, Anura, Pelobatidae.